GGGCCCUUGGCUCAGUUGGUAGAGCGCUCCCAUGGCAUGGGAGAGGUCACCGGUUCGAAUCCGGUAGGGUCCACCA
This 76-nucleotide transfer RNA is filed under the name candidate division Kazan bacterium. RNAcentral's name for it is "tRNA-Ala". It matches the Rfam family "tRNA". From Rfam's summary of the family: Transfer RNA (tRNA) molecules are approximately 80 nucleotides in length. Their secondary structure includes four short double-helical elements and three loops (D, anti-codon, and T loops). RNAcentral also lists the same sequence under 1 other name. The record is from RNAcentral.